This 253-nucleotide ribosomal RNA is filed under the name uncultured bacterium. RNAcentral's name for it is "partial 16S ribosomal RNA". It matches the Rfam family "Bacterial small subunit ribosomal RNA", at positions 524 to 776 of the family's 1533-position model. The record is from RNAcentral. RNAcentral also lists the same sequence under 1 other name.
CACGUAGGAGACGAGCGUUAUCCGGAUUUACUGGGUGUAAAGCGCGUGUAGGCGGUCGAGUAAGUUGGAUGUGAAAGCUCCCGGCUCAACUGGGAGAGGUCGUUCAAUACUGCUUGGCUAGAGGACAGCAGAGGGGAGUGGAAUUCCGAGUGUAGCGGUAAAAUGCAUAGAUAUUCGGAAGAACACCAGUGGCGAAGGCGGCUCUCUGGGCUGGUCCUGACGCUCAGACGCGAAAGCUAGGGUAGCAAACGGG